This 126-nucleotide transfer RNA is filed under the name Ophiocordyceps sinensis. It matches the Rfam family "tRNA". From Rfam's summary of the family: Transfer RNA (tRNA) molecules are approximately 80 nucleotides in length. Their secondary structure includes four short double-helical elements and three loops (D, anti-codon, and T loops). RNAcentral also lists the same sequence under 1 other name. The record is from Rfam by way of RNAcentral. Lineage: Eukaryota; Fungi; Ascomycota; Sordariomycetes; Hypocreales; Ophiocordycipitaceae.
GACAGCGUGCUAGAGUGGUUAAUAGGUGAGACUUGAACCAAAACGGAAAGUGGGACCCGCUCCUGCUAACCAAAUGCUCAAUAUCUCAUGGUUUCGGCCUCGCAGGUUCGAAUCCUGUCGCUGUCG